Molecule: ribosomal RNA, 319 nt
Filed under: uncultured bacterium
Lineage: Bacteria
Description: bacterial SSU rRNA
Rfam family: Bacterial small subunit ribosomal RNA
Source: RNAcentral
GACGAACGCUGGCGGCGUGCCUAAUACAUGCAAGUAGAACGCUGAAGACUUUUAGCUUGCUAAAAGUUGGAAGAGUUGCGAACGGGUGAGUAACGCGUAGGUAACCUGCCUACUAGCGGGGGGAUAACUAUUGGAAACGAUAGCUAAUACCGCAUAACAGCAUUUAACCCAUGUUAGAUGCUUGAAAGGAGCAAUUGCUUCACUAGUAGAUGGACCUGCGUUGUAUUAGCUAGUAGGUGGGGUAACGGCUCACCUAGGCGACGAUCCCUAGCUGGUCUGAGAGGAUGACCAGCCACACUGGAACUGAGACACGGUCCAG